CUCAGGACGAACGCUGGCGGCGUGCCUAACACAUGCAAGUCGAACGGAGRUGUACCGGUGAAGUUUUCGGACGGAACUGGUGCAUUCUUAGUGGCGGACGGGUGAGUAACGCGUGGAUAACCUGCCUAUCAGACCGGGAUAACUCCGGGAAACCGGGGCUAAUACCGGAUACGAACUUAGGUGCGCAUGCACCGGAGUUGAAAAGGGAUUACCGCUGAUAGAUGGGUCCGCGUCCCAUUAGCUAGUUGGUGGGGUAAAGGCCUACCAAGGCGACGAUGGGUAGCCGGCCUGAGAGGGUGAACGGCCACACUGGGACUGAGACACGGCCCAGACUCCUACGGGAGGCAGCAGUGGGGAAUAUUCCGCAAUGGGCGCAAGCCUGACGGAGCGACGCCGCGUGAGGGAGGAAGGCCUUCGGGUUGUAAACCUCUGUUCUAUGGGAAGAAGGAAGUGACGGUACCAUAGGAGGAAGCCCCGGCUAACUACGUGCCAGCAGCCGCGGUAACACGUAGGGGGCGAGCGUUGUCCGGAAUUACUGGGCGUAAAGGGCGUGUAGGCGGCCAUUUAAGUUAGAGGUGAAAUACCGGGGCUCAACCCCGGGGUUGCCUCUAAGACUGGAUGGCUUGAGUGCAGGAGAGGGAAGUGGAAUUCCUAGUGUAGCGGUGAAAUGCGUAGAUAUUAGGAGGAACACUCGUGGCGAAGGCGGCUUCCUGGCCUGUAACUGACGCUGAGGCGCGAAAGCGUGGGGAGCGAACAGGAUUAGAUACCCUGGUAGUCCACGCCGUAAACGAUGAGUGCUAGGUGUUGGAGGUAUCGACCCCUUCAGUGCCGAAGUUAACGCGCUAAGCACUCCGCCUGGGGAGUACGGUCGCAAGACUGAAACUCAAAGGAAUUGACGGGGGCCCGCACAAGCGGUGGAGCAUGUGGUUUAAUUCGACGCAACGCGAAGAACCUUACCAGGGCUUGACAUCCCCUGACGGCCCUAGAGAUAGGGUGUUCCCUUUAGGGACAGGGAGACAGGUGGUGCAUGGUUGUCGUCAGCUCGUGUCGUGAGAUGUUGGGUUAAGUCCCGCAACGAGCGCAACCCCUACUGCCAGUUGCCAGCACGUAGUGGUGGGGACUCUGGCGGAACUGCCGUUGAGAAGACGGAGGAAGGUGGGGAUGACGUCAAAUCAUCAUGCCCCUUAUGUCCUGGGCUACACACGUGCUACAAUGGCCUGUACAGAGGGAAGCGAAGCCGCGAGGCGGAGCGAAACUCAAAAAGCAGGUCGUAGUUCGGAUUGCAGGCUGCAACUCGCCUGCAUGAAGUCGGAAUCGCUAGUAAUCGCAGGUCAGCAUACUGCGGUGAAUACGUUCCCGGGCCUUGUACACACCGCCCGUCACACCACGAAAGUCGACAACACCCGAAGCCGGUGGGCUAACCGAGAGGAGGCAGCCGUCGAAG
This 1444-nucleotide ribosomal RNA is filed under the name Desulforadius tongensis. RNAcentral describes it as "Desulfotomaculum sp. TGB60-1 16S ribosomal RNA". It matches the Rfam family "Bacterial small subunit ribosomal RNA". The record is from RNAcentral. Lineage: Bacteria; Bacillati; Bacillota; Clostridia; Eubacteriales; Peptococcaceae.